CCUACGGGAGGCAGCAGUGGGGAAUCUUGCGCAAUGAGCGGAAGCUUGACGCAGCGACACCGCGUGAGGGAUGAAGGCCCUCGGGUUGUAAACCUCUUUCACCACCGACGAAGCGUGAGUGACGGUAGGUGGGGAAGAAGCACCGGCCAACUACGUGCCAGCAGCCGCGGUAAU
Molecule: ribosomal RNA, 174 nt
Filed under: uncultured Actinomadura sp.
Lineage: Bacteria; Bacillati; Actinomycetota; Actinomycetes; Streptosporangiales; Thermomonosporaceae
Description: partial 16S ribosomal RNA
Rfam family: Bacterial small subunit ribosomal RNA
Source: RNAcentral